Molecule: transfer RNA, 77 nt
Filed under: Balneolaceae bacterium
Lineage: Bacteria; Pseudomonadati; Balneolota; Balneolia; Balneolales; Balneolaceae
Description: tRNA-Arg
Rfam family: tRNA
About the family: Transfer RNA (tRNA) molecules are approximately 80 nucleotides in length. Their secondary structure includes four short double-helical elements and three loops (D, anti-codon, and T loops).
Source: RNAcentral
GCGCCCGUAGCUCAACCGGAUAGAGCGUCUGACUUCGGAUCAGAAGGUUGAGGGUUCGAAUCCUUCCGGGCGUACCA